Molecule: ribosomal RNA, 460 nt
Filed under: uncultured bacterium
Lineage: Bacteria
Description: partial 16S ribosomal RNA
Rfam family: Bacterial small subunit ribosomal RNA
Source: RNAcentral
CCUACGGGAGGCAGCAGUGAGGAAUAUUGGUCAAUGGACGAGAGUCUGAACCAGCCAAGCCGCGUGAAGGAUGACUGCUCUAUGAGUUGUAAACUUCUUUUAUAAAGGGGUAAAACGAGGUACGUGUACCUUUUUGCAUGUACCUUAUGAAUAAGGAUCGGCUAACUCCGUGCCAGCAGCCGCGGUAAUACGGAGGAUCCGAGCGUUAUCCGGAUUUAUUGGGUUUAAAGGGAGCGUAGGUGGGUGGUUAAGUUAGAUGUGAAAGUGCGCGGCUCAACCGUGAAAUUGCAAUUGAUACUGGCAGUCUUGAGUGCAGAUGAGGUAGGCGGAAUUCAUGGUGUAGCGGUGAAAUGCUUAGAGAUCACGAAGAACCCCGAUUGCGAAGGCAGCAUACCGGGGGACAACUGACGCUGAGGCACGAAAGCGUGGGGAGCAAACAGGAUUAGAUACCCCGGUAGUC